Molecule: ribosomal RNA, 200 nt
Filed under: uncultured bacterium
Lineage: Bacteria
Description: partial 16S ribosomal RNA
Rfam family: Bacterial small subunit ribosomal RNA
Source: RNAcentral
AUUGAACGCUGGCGGCAUGCCUUACACAUGCAAGUCGAACGGCAGCACGGGAGCAAUCCUGGUGGCGAGUGGCGAACGGGUGAGUAAUACAUCGGAACGUGCCCAAUCGUGGGGGAUAACGCAGCGAGAGCUGUGCUAAUACCGCAUACGAUCUACGGAUGAAAGCAGGGGAUCGCAAGACCUUGCGCGAAUGGAGCGGC